This is a small nucleolar RNA of Mugil cephalus (flathead mullet), 127 nucleotides long. RefSeq annotates it as small nucleolar RNA SNORA55. NCBI's taxonomy places the organism in Eukaryota, Metazoa, Chordata, Actinopteri, Mugiliformes, Mugilidae. The transcript has a single exon. The record is from RefSeq and is a predicted model, not a curated record.
GCACUUACAACAACCCCGUCAAUUCUGUGUUUUUGAUGCGGGUAACGCAGGUGCAACAGUGACUCAAUGUAAAUCCAGAUGGACCUCCUCUUCCCGUGGAGCCUGUCUCUACAACUUUGAAACACAA